Molecule: long non-coding RNA, 1234 nt
Organism: Spinacia oleracea (spinach)
Lineage: Eukaryota; Viridiplantae; Streptophyta; Magnoliopsida; Caryophyllales; Amaranthaceae
Exons: 2
Source: RefSeq, a predicted model, not a curated record
UCUCACUGAAUUAUUAACUUGUUAAUUAAUACUGAACCGCAUUUAUUAGACUUAACAUUGAAUGCAUACUUGGACCAAGGGCAUUAUUUCCUUCAAGCUUCCCUUUAGCUUUUAGAACAACCUUCAUACUGACCUUUAGAUUUUUUAUCCUUCCUUUGAUUCCGGCAGUGUUUCCUCUUAGAUUCCUUGGUUUUGGCUUAUGAAUUGGGUAGAACUUUGGUAGUAAUUGGGAUGGUUCGAAUACUUAUGCGGGCAGAGUUCUUCUUAACACACUACUACAUUUUCGAUCAAAUGCGACGCCUCUUAAUGAGCUAAUGCAACGCCUCACCUCAAUACCGUUGCAUUAUGUGUUGCUAAUGCAACGACCACUACCAAACCGUGACAUUAGUCAAUCUAAUACGACGACAUCUUCUUUACCGUUGCAUUAGCCCUUCAAAUAUUCAUGGGCAAUUAAAUUUGACAAGGCUAAUGCAACGGCCGUUGAAAAUACCUACAGUCAAAUUUAUUGGCCGCGCCGAAUUCACACUCUUUUCCCCUAAAUACUUCGUAUAAUUUUAAACCGCAAUUGAACGUAGAAGAGAGAGAAAAUGUAGAGGAGUAAGGAACCCUAUUUCCCCUUUCUUACCUCCCGCAACCUUGUUCCGCCGUCCCGCAACCUUCUUCUGCCGUUGAGGGACUCGCCUGUAUAAUUCGAUCUGGUCGUCGCUCCGACAACAAUUGCAAGUAAAUGUUGCUCCAAUUUCAACUGGUAUUUCUUUGAAAAGACCUUAAAAGGACAAUUCGACUGUAGAGACCUGUACUGAAUGGAAUUCUACACCUUCAUCCCCUGAUCUAAUUGGUGUUUUAUCAUCAGCGAUUAAACUUCCCUUUAGCACACUCCAUCCAUAAUCGCAGGUUGUAUUGUCCAUAAUCCAUAUUAUUUAUCAUGUUUUAGCUAGUGUACCAUCUUUAACUUGUGCCCAUUCGUGAUUUAAACUUGCAGGAGCAUGGUGAGCUAAAUGGAGAAGAAAUGUAGAUCUAGCAAAUGGAACGGUGGAGGCUCUUGUUUGUUUUGGGGGCAUUUUAUGAUUUCCAGUAAUGUUGAAUUAGGAGGCUAUGGAUUUUAGUUUUAUGUAUUUUUGUCAUUAAAAACACUAAAUAAUUAGUGAACAACUAUUUUGUAAUGCAUGUGUCCUAUGGGCACUAAUAUUGUAAUAUUACUUUUUAAGUCAAUGAAAUUCCUUUGUUAUUGGCA